Molecule: long non-coding RNA, 839 nt
Filed under: Solanum tuberosum (potato)
Lineage: Eukaryota; Viridiplantae; Streptophyta; Magnoliopsida; Solanales; Solanaceae
Description: long non-coding RNA (STUB_LNC004866)
Source: RNAcentral
AGAGUCGUAGUGGUCUCAAACUUGAACUAUGACUGCUUAAGGAAAAUAAAAUAUCACUGCUCACACAUAAUAAUCAAGGUGUUGACAUGAGCUUUAAAGCCAGCACGUUAUGGCCAUGUGCUAUCCCGGUUUCAUGAGUGCUUUUGAGAAUAAGCCCAAUUCUCAUAGGAAGCGACCUACUUCCACACAUCACAUAGGUGAAAUCUGUCGAGAGUGCUCCUGUAAGCUUAACACUCCACCCAUACGGGCUACAUAUAUUCAUUAAGAGUUUUAUUAACUCAACCUUAACAAAUUACAGGAAACAAUGCACUCACAUCAUAGUUGGUUAUUAAUUAUCCACUAAGGCACAAAUGUUUAUCCAUUGCAAGCAAUGAUCCAGUAGAUGCUCCAACGAAUAGACAAACACAAAUUGCUAAUGUGGCCAUUCCAAGAUAGAAUAUAAUAUAAUAUUAAAAUGAUGACCAACAAUUCCCCACUCAUUUUCAUAUUAAUUAAGAGAGUCUAUCAGUUGAAGGAAGACUACUAUGCAUAAUGAAGGUGUGCUCUGCAUUGAACCUCCACUUAGUAAAACAAUAACUUUUACUUCAGAGUCGUAGUGGUCUCAAACUUGAACUAUGACUGCUUAAGGAAAAUAAAAUAUCACUGCUCACACAUAAUAAUCAAGGUGUUGACAUGAGCUUUAAAGCCAGCACGUUAUGGCCAUGUGCUAUCCCGGUUUCAUGAGUGCUUUUGAGAAUAAGCCCAAUUCUCAUAGGAAGCGACCUACUUCCACACAUCACAUAGGUGAAAUCUGUCGAGAGUGCUCCUGUAAGCUUAACACUCCACCCAUACGGGCUACA